GCCCCCGUAGCUCAACUGGAUAGAGUUUCUGGCUUCAUACCAGACGGCUGCACGUUCAAAUCGUGCCGGGGACG
RNAcentral lists this transfer RNA (74 nucleotides) under Halioglobus sp. HI00S01. RNAcentral's name for it is "tRNA-Sec". Lineage: Bacteria; Pseudomonadati; Pseudomonadota; Gammaproteobacteria; Cellvibrionales; Halieaceae. The record is from RNAcentral.